RNAcentral lists this ribosomal RNA (253 nucleotides) under uncultured bacterium. RNAcentral's name for it is "partial 16S ribosomal RNA". It matches the Rfam family "Bacterial small subunit ribosomal RNA", at positions 524 to 776 of the family's 1533-position model. The record is from RNAcentral.
UACGUAGGGGGCGAGCGUUGUCCGGAAUUAUUGGGCGUAAAGAGCUCGUAGGCGGUCCUUUGAGUCGGGUGUGAAAUUUCGGGGCUCAACCCCGGAACCGCAUCCGAUACUGGGGGACUCGAGGCAGGUAGGGGAAGGUGGAAUUCCUGGUGUAGCGGUGAAAUGCGCAGAUAUCAGGAGGAACACCCGUGGCGAAGGCGGCCUUCUGGGCCUGUUCUGACGCUGAGGAGCGAAAGCGUGGGGAGCAAACAGG